This 590-nucleotide long non-coding RNA is filed under the name Vigna radiata. Its description in RNAcentral is "long non-coding RNA (VRAD_LNC005540)". Lineage: Eukaryota; Viridiplantae; Streptophyta; Magnoliopsida; Fabales; Fabaceae. The record is from RNAcentral.
UUUUCAGUUUUUUAUAUUAAUUAUUUCAAAAUAAACACAUGUUACUAAUGAUAACUAAGAUUCUUUAAUUUUUUUAUAUUAAUAAAUACAAAAUAAACACAUGUUACUUAAUAAUUUAGAUUCUUCAAUUUUUUUAGUUUCUUUUUUAUCGAUUGGUCCAAUUAUUCCUGUUUUAAUUUGAUUGGUAAAAGUAACAUGUCAUAAGAAUCUUAGAAGAAAAUGGUGAAAAAAAGUUAAGUGAGCCAAUGAGCCCUGUCGAGUUUGAUGUUCAUACAUCAAUCAUAGAAAAAUUAUUAUAUUUGUCGCCCACAAGAAAUUGUGUAAUUAUCAGUUAUCGAGGUGAGUUUUGGAGGGAUGGAAUGGAAGUUAAAAAGUUUGUUGUGCCCCUCUGUAUUUAUAUGAUUCCACUCUAAAUUUUGCUAAAGUUAAUAUAAUCGAUUCUAAAUAAUAAUAAGGACCAUGAUAUGUUAACAACUUUUUGACAAUGAACAAUGCAUAUAUCACUACUUUAUUAUCUGUAUAUUUGAAAAUUUUGGUCACAUUCAAAUAAAUUACUUUGAAAAAUUUAAUAGUUAUAAUAAGUUAUUAAU